RNAcentral lists this ribosomal RNA (253 nucleotides) under uncultured bacterium. RNAcentral's name for it is "partial 16S ribosomal RNA". It matches the Rfam family "Bacterial small subunit ribosomal RNA", at positions 524 to 776 of the family's 1533-position model. The record is from RNAcentral.
UACGUAGGGUCCAAGCGUUGUCCGGAUUUAUUGGGCGUAAAGAGCGUGUAGGCGGCCAAGCAGGUCCGCUGUGAAAACUCGAGGCUCAACCUCGAGACGUCGGUGGAAACCGUUUGGCUAGAGUCCGGAAGAGGAGAGUGGAAUUCCCGGUGUAGCGGUGAAAUGCGCAGAUAUCGGGAAGAACACCCGUGGCGAAGGCGGCUCUCUGGGACGGUACUGACGCUGAGACGCGAAAGCGUGGGGAGCGAACAGG